This 801-nucleotide small RNA is filed under the name Pan troglodytes (chimpanzee). Its description in RNAcentral is "sense overlapping". The stretch from base 14 to 289 matches the Rfam family "SOX2 overlapping transcript exon 3". The record is from RNAcentral. Lineage: Eukaryota; Metazoa; Chordata; Mammalia; Primates; Hominidae.
CAGGGGAUUGCAGUGGCAAAGCUAGGCUAGGUCUUGGAGGCUGGUGUAAGGCGAUGCGGGUGAAGGCAGGAGGCUGAUGGAGAGACUGGGGGGAAGAAAAGCCGAAAUGGAUUCACGGUGCCUUGGAUGAAGGACGAGAGGGGAACUGCAAGCUCCUUCAACUGGUUCUGUCCGGUGAGAAGUGAUCAAGCUUGGGCUGACAAGAGGCUCAGGGAGCCCUCACGUUCUUUCGCUUUUUUACCUGCCAAUCAAACUGCUACAAGACAACACCCUGAUCUGGCAUGGACAUCGCGGGUCCAAGCCUGUAGCCCCAAAUCGGAUAAUCUCUGCAGCUGAUAACAAGCAAAAGAGAAGCCAGGCAACAGCCAUAUUAAAGAAGAAAACAGUCAACUCUGAGGCGGAGUCUCGCUCUGUUGCCUAGGCUGGAGUGCAGUGGCACAAUCUUGGCUCACCACAACCUCCACCUCCCAAGUUCAAGGGAUUCUCUUGCCUCAGGCUCCUGAGUAGCUGAGAUUACAAGCUCCCACCACCAUGCUCAGCUAAUUUAUCCAACUUAGAAAUAAUGUUUCAUUCAAGAUAAGGCUCGUGGUUUAGGAGAUUGUGACCUGGCUUGCAUCAUUCUAAGACUUCUAUCGUCUGUUUUCAAAACCCAAGGAGGACCUCAUUUUCUGUGUGAUAGUUCCUCAUGCUUUGCCAGCCACUGGGUCUUUAAGGAAGCUUGCCAAGAGUUCCCGGCUGGGAAGGACAGUUCGAGUUCAUCAUAGACAAUGAGCUGGCACCACAGUUUAAGUGACUCACCAA